Molecule: ribosomal RNA, 468 nt
Filed under: uncultured bacterium
Lineage: Bacteria
Description: partial 16S ribosomal RNA
Rfam family: Bacterial small subunit ribosomal RNA
Source: RNAcentral
GACGAACGCUGGCGGCGUGCUUAACACAUGCAAGUCGAACGGAAAGGCCCUGCUUUUGUGGGGUGCUCGAGUGGCGAACGGGUGAGUAACACGUGAGUAACCUGCCCUUGACUUUGGGAUAACUUCAGGAAACUGGGGCUAAUACCGGAUAGGAGCUCCUGCUGCAUGGUGGGGGUUGGAAAGUUUCGGCGGUUGGGGAUGGUCUCGCGGCUUAUCAGCUUGUUGGUGGGGUAGUGGCUUACCAAGGCUUUGACGGGUAGCCGGCCUGAGAGGGUGACCGGCCACAUUGCGACUGAGAUACGGACCAGAAUCCUACGGGAGGCAGCAGUGGGGAAUCUUGCACAAUGGGCGGAAGCCUGAUGCAGCGACGCCGCGUGCGGAAUGACGGCCUUCGGGUUGUAAACCGCUUUCGCCUGUGACGAAGCGUGAGUGACGGUAAUGAGUAAAGAAGCACCGGCUAACUACGUG